AUUGAACGCUGGCGGCAUGCCUUACACAUGCAAGUCGAACGGCAGCACGGACUUCGGUCUGGUGGCGAGUGGCGAACGGGUGAGUAAUGUAUCGGAACGUACCUUUCAGUGGGGGAUAACGUAGCGAAAGUUACGCUAAUACCGCAUAUUCUGUGAGCAGGAAAGCAGGGGAUCGCAAGACCUUGCGCUGAUUGAGCGGCCGAUAUCAGAUUAGCUAGUUGGUGGGGUAAAGGCCUACCAAGGCUACGAUCUGAAGCGGGUCUGAGAGGAUGAUCCGCCACACUGGAACUGAGACACGGUCCAGACUCCUACGGGAGGCAGCAGUGGGGAAUUUUGGACAAUGGGGGCAACCCCGAUCCAGCCAUGCCGCGUGAGUGAAGAAGGCCUUCGGGUUGUAAAGCUCUUUCGGCCGGGAAGAAAUCGCAUCAGCUAAUACCUGGUGUGGAUGACGGUACCGGAAUAAGAAGCACCGGCUAACUACGUGCCAGCAGCCGCGGUAAUACGUAGGGUGCGAGCGUUAAUCGGAAUUACUGGGCGUAAAGCGUGCGCAGGCGGUUGUGUAAGACAGGCGUGAAAUCCCCGGGCUCAACCUGGGAACUGCGCUUGUGACUGCACAGCUAGAGUACGGCAGAGGGGGGUGGAAUUCCACGUGUAGCAGUGAAAUGCGUAGAGAUGUGGAGGAACACCGAUGGCGAAGGCAGCCCCCUGGGCCGAUACUGACGCUCAUGCACGAAAGCGUGGGUAGCAAACAGGAUUAGAUACCCUGGUAGUCCACGCCCUAAACGAUGUCAACUAGGUGUUGGAUGGGUAAAACCAUUUAGUACCGUAGCUAACGCGUGAAGUUGACCGCCUGGGGAGUACGGCCGCAAGGUUAAAACUCAAAGGAAUUGACGGGGACCCGCACAAGCGGUGGAUGAUGUGGAUUAAUUCGAUGCAACGCGAAAAACCUUACCUACCCUUGACAUGUCCAGAAGCCCGGAGAGAUUUGGGUGUGCCCGAAAGGGAACUGGAACACAGGUGCUGCAUGGCUGUCGUCAGCUCGUGUCGUGAGAUGUUGGGUUAAGUCCCGCAACGAGCGCAACCCUUGUCGUUAAUUGCCAUCAUUUAGUUGGGCACUUUAACGAGACUGCCGGUGACAAACCGGAGGAAGGUGGGGAUGACGUCAAGUCCUCAUGGCCCUUAUGGGUAGGGCUUCACACGUCAUACAAUGGUCGGUACAGAGGGUUGCCAAGCCGCGAGGUGGAGCCAAUCCCAGAAAGCCGAUCGUAGUCCGGAUUGCAGGCUGCAACUCGCCUGCAUGAAGUCGGAAUCGCUAGUAAUCGCGGAUCAGCAUGUCGCGGUGAAUACGUUCCCGGGUCU
This 1359-nucleotide ribosomal RNA is filed under the name uncultured bacterium. Its description in RNAcentral is "bacterial SSU rRNA". It matches the Rfam family "Bacterial small subunit ribosomal RNA", at positions 28 to 1381 of the family's 1533-position model. The record is from RNAcentral.